Molecule: transfer RNA, 52 nt
Filed under: Meloidogyne marylandi
Lineage: Eukaryota; Metazoa; Nematoda; Chromadorea; Rhabditida; Meloidogynidae
Description: partial tRNA-His
Source: RNAcentral
UAGCCAAAAAAUUCUAAAGAAUAUUUUAUUGUGAUUAAAAAAGGUUUUGGCU